Molecule: transfer RNA, 74 nt
Filed under: Bacteriophage sp.
Description: tRNA-Lys
Rfam family: tRNA
About the family: Transfer RNA (tRNA) molecules are approximately 80 nucleotides in length.
Source: RNAcentral
GCCCGUGUAGCUCAGUUGGUUAGAGCAUUUGCCUUUUAAGCAAAGGGUCGAGAGUUCGAAUCUCUCCACGAGCA